GGGCCGUAACAGACAAAAUUGUCUUCAGAUCGUUUCACAUAAACGAUUGAUUUUUUUUAUUGCAUAAAUGAUUUUUUUUUCCAGAACAGAUAACUCUAGAACAUUGUCUUAUCGUCUUCACUAAAACACACUGAUAAAAAAUCAGACGGUUGUUGGUAAUAAAAAUCAUCCGCAAAAUUGUCUUAUAAUCAAGAUACUAUGUCUUCGUUUAUCAUCUGUUAAUCAUAACACCAGAAUUCUACAAAGAGAGCUCAUGGGCAUUGGUUAUCAAGAACCCGAUAAUAUAUGGAUAAUGGUUUGCCCAACGAUGUUGCCAAAAGAAGAUGAUUCUGAGUAAAAUUAAAUGGCAAAUUUGAUGUCAUUUAGAAGCCAUACCAGAAUCUGGAAGCAAUGUUAAAGAGCAUCAAACAACUUAUUUGGCUGGCUCUUAACAAAACCUUCAUUGAUCUAAAUCAGCAGAGGAGAGGGAAACCCAACAAUGGUGUGUCAAGCCCACAUACCCCAAAAGCACCAAAACAUGCACCUCGUCCACCCUUUCGAACCAAACUCGCAGAGAUGAAGCAAAUCACUGCUGUUCUUUUCCAAGGCCAGACACUGUUUCCUUCAUGAUUCAUCGUUCCUUCUGUUCUCCAAAGGCCGACUUUGUUCAAACUAAUGGCUCCAAAGCACCCUCGAGUGCUCUUCUAUGAGCAUGAAUUAUGUCAAGCUGUUGCUCAAAACAACCUUACCUGAUUACACUUGCUGCAGUCAGACUCUUCAUAUUGGUUUCCUCUCUUUCUGUUGGUAUUAGGUUUUGUCUUCAUUACAUUAUUGAUCAUUUCUCUUGAUGAUCAUCAUUACCUAUAGUAAGAAGCAUGCAAGAUCGGUGCAUGCUAGUGGUGCUGCCAUUAUCUUAGAAGGGUCGUGAAGAGAACAGAUGAAAGCUUUUUAAAGAUCUCGUUCAUAAAUAUUGGGCUAAUUUACUCGAAAGCCCAAUAUGAUUAUUCUGCAGGAUCCGCGUGUUUUACCGUUUGUGUACCCGGGAUCCGUGCGUUUUACCAAAUGGGGAUCCAAAUAAUGAUCCAAGAUCCGCGUCCUUCAGAGUGCAAAAAUGUCCAUUUUACCCCUCAAAGAUUUCUUUUGUUUAGUCAUAGAAUUAAAAAUUUGUAAUGGCAUCUUUUGUAAUUUUUUACCCUUUA
This is a long non-coding RNA of Arabidopsis lyrata subsp. lyrata, 1178 nucleotides long. RefSeq lists it as uncharacterized. NCBI's taxonomy places the organism in Eukaryota, Viridiplantae, Streptophyta, Magnoliopsida, Brassicales, Brassicaceae. The transcript has 5 exons. The record is from RefSeq and is a predicted model, not a curated record.